GAGCAUAUAGCUCAGUGGUAGAGUGCAUGUCUAGCAUGCAUGAGGUCCUGGGUUCAACCCCCAGUACCUCCA
This 72-nucleotide transfer RNA is filed under the name Camelus ferus (Wild Bactrian camel). It matches the Rfam family "tRNA". Rfam says of the family: Transfer RNA (tRNA) molecules are approximately 80 nucleotides in length. Their secondary structure includes four short double-helical elements and three loops (D, anti-codon, and T loops). Lineage: Eukaryota; Metazoa; Chordata; Mammalia; Artiodactyla; Camelidae. The record is from Rfam by way of RNAcentral.